AACGAACGCUGGCGGCAUGCCUAACACAUGCAAGUCGAACGAUUGCCUUCGGGUGAUAGUGGCGCACGGGUGCGUAACGCGUGGGAAUCUGCCCUUAGGUUCGGAAUAACAGCUGGAAACGGCUGCUAAUACCGGAUGAUAUCGCGAGAUCAAAGAUUUAUCGCCUGAGGAUGAGCCCGCGUUGGAUUAGGUAGUUGGUGGGGUAAAGGCCUACCAAGCCGACGAUCCAUAGCUGGUCUGAGAGGAUGAUCAGCCACACUGGGACUGAGACACGGCCCAGACUCCUACGGGAGGCAGCAGUGGGGAAUAUUGGACAAUGGGCGCAAGCCUGAUCCAGCAAUGCCGCGUGAGUGAUGAAGGCCCUAGGGCUGUAAAGCUCUUUUACCCGGGAAGAUAAUGACUGUACCGGGAGAAUAAGCCCCGGCUAACUCCGUG
RNAcentral lists this ribosomal RNA (435 nucleotides) under uncultured bacterium. Its description in RNAcentral is "partial 16S ribosomal RNA". It matches the Rfam family "Bacterial small subunit ribosomal RNA", at positions 29 to 507 of the family's 1533-position model. The record is from RNAcentral.